This 387-nucleotide unclassified non-coding RNA is filed under the name soil metagenome. RNAcentral's name for it is "partial contains 5.8S ribosomal RNA, internal transcribed spacer 2, and large subunit ribosomal RNA". The stretch from base 1 to 120 matches the Rfam family "5.8S ribosomal RNA", at positions 35 to 154 of the family's 154-position model. The record is from RNAcentral.
GAUGAAGAACGUAGCGAAAUGCGAUAAGUAAUGUGAAUUGCAGAAUUCAGUGAAUCAUCGAAUCUUUGAACGCACCUUGCGCUCCUUGGUAUUCCGAGGAGCAUGCCUGUUUGAGUGCCAUGAAAUUCUCAACCUUUUCAGCUUUCUUUGUUGAUCAGGCUUGGAUGUGGGAGUAUGCGGGCUUCUCAGAAGUCGGCUCUCCUGAAAUGCAUUAGCGGGACCUUUGUUGCCUGGCUUUGGUGUGAUAAUUAUCUACGCCAUUGUGGUCAAGCAGCUUAAAAUGAGGUUUCAGCUUCUAACCGUCUCCCCUGAGACAACUUUUUGACAAUUUGCCCUCAAAUCAGGUAGGACUACCCGCUGAACUUAAGCAUAUCAAUAAGCGGAGGA